RNAcentral lists this ribosomal RNA (476 nucleotides) under uncultured bacterium. Its description in RNAcentral is "bacterial SSU rRNA". It matches the Rfam family "Bacterial small subunit ribosomal RNA", at positions 1 to 507 of the family's 1533-position model. The record is from RNAcentral.
AGUACAGACGAGUUUGAUCCUGGCUCAGAACGAACGCUGGCGGCAUGCUUAACACAUGCAAGUCGAACGGGGUAUAGGUGCUUGCACUUAUACUUAGGUGGCAGACGGGUGAGUAACGCGUGGGAACGUACCCCUUGGAUCAGGAUAACGGCUGGAAACGGUCGCUAAUACUGGAUACGUCCGAAAGGAGAAAGAUAUAUUGCCGAGGGAGCGGCCCGCGUUGGAUUAGGUAGUUGGUGAGGUAAAAGCUCACCAAGCCUGUGAUCCAUAGCUGGUUUGAGAGGAUGAUCAGCCACACUGGGACUGAGACACCGGCCCAGACUCCUACGGGAGGCAGCAGGUGGGGAAUAUUGGACAAUGGGGGCAACCCUGAUCCAGCAAUGCCGCGUGAGUGAUGAAGGCCUUCGGGUUGUAAAGCUCUUUUGUCGGGGACGAUGAUGACGGUACCCGACGAAUAAGCUCCGGCUAACUUCGUG